This 293-nucleotide ribosomal RNA is filed under the name uncultured bacterium. Its description in RNAcentral is "partial 16S ribosomal RNA". It matches the Rfam family "Bacterial small subunit ribosomal RNA", at positions 505 to 796 of the family's 1533-position model. The record is from RNAcentral.
GUGCCAGCCGCCGCGGUAAUACAGAGGGUGCAAGCGUUGUUCGGAAUUACUGGGCGUAAAGCGCGCGCAGGCGGAUCCUGCAAGUCCGGAGUGAAAUCUCACUGCUCAACGGUGAGGCUGCUUUGGAUACUGCGGAUCUGGAGACCGGUAGAGGCUGGUAGAAUUGCAGGUGUAGCGGUGGAAUGCGUAGAGAUCUGCAAGAAUACCCGUGGCGAAGGCGGCCAGCUGGGCCGGUUCUGACGCUGAGGCGCGAAAGCGUGGGGAGCAAACAGGAUUAGAAACCCUGGUAGUCC